GCAUGAACUUCUGUAGGCAAUUUAAUAGACAUGGUCCUAUUAGGAGAAACAUAAAGAGGACUAAUAGGGGUCCUGUGAGGGGGAGGAGCCAAGGCCAUACUUGACUGAACAUUCCCCAUGGAGCCUGUUGGCCUAGUUGCUGUCUCCUCUUUUCUAGCUGUCCUUGUCCUUCAUUACUCCUAGGAAUGACUGUGUUUUUGGCUUAACUGUUUUUGGUAGGUGUUUAAGAUCAAGCUGGUAAAAAUUGACUUUGUUUCUAUCUAUCGUUAAGAGUCAGCCGUAGGGGAACUUGAGAGCAGCUUCCUAGUUCUGCUAGUGUCAUUUGCGCUAGGAUGGGUUCAGGUCUUGCUUGACCAUGUGGCUUCCCUUGGAAUCAUCAGGGAUGUCUCCUGUCUCCAAUGACCCUCCUAUUCACAGCAAAUGCAGUGAUUGGCUUUUCAUUCUCCAGUGGUCUCAUUAAUCUCCCUGAUCAGGAGGUUAUGUGGCCCAGAGUUGCAAAGCUCUUUAGAGAAGUUCCCUGUUCCCUGGAUUUCAGAAUGAUUCAGAGGGCAAGAGCCAAAUAUUGGUUUUCUUGGCCAUUUUAACUUAACUUGUUAAGUCUUAAUCUUAAACAUCCAGCAAAGUCAGUUUCAGUUUAAAUUAAGAGUAAUGGGCUUUAGCUGAAGUCUGGCCUACUUUGGAGUCAUUCUGACAUGUAAUAAGAUGGGAGGCAGACCCUUAUCUCUGGUAAGGCGGGGCUCUUUAUAAAUCUUAGGUAAAGUGUUCUAGUAUUGAACUGAUCUUUGUUUUUUAAAUAUCGUUUUAUAAAGUUUACAUAUAUUGUUGCUUGAUGUCACAUGAAUACUCGCUAACACAAUAAUGAUUACAUUUAAAUUGUACCCCAGUUUAUAGAACUUUAUAUUAAUCUUAUUGAUGACAGGUCCAGUUAUAGAACAUUAAAUGAUAUAAAUAAAUCUCCAAUAUGUUAUUUUUAUAAGCCUAAAAUUACCAUGCAACCUUUUGGAGAACAUCAGCUUGAUAUAAUUUUUUUUUAAAGUUUCUAUCUUAAUGACUUAUAUACCUGGAAAAUAUGAACACAUUUAAUAUACAAAGAAGAGUGAUAGUACCACAAUUCCUAUUGAUGUUUUAUAUUAAUCAAGUUUAGCUCUUAAAGAAAUAACAUAUUACAAUAUUGUAAAAUAACAGUUGUUGUUUAACCAUAGUUGUAUAAUGCUUAAUUCCUUCAAGAUUACUUGCUCAAAAAACUUACAUAUAUAAUCAACUUACACAGACCUUCUUUAUCACUUGCUUAAACCCUCUUAUUUACUUAAUCACAUAGACUCUCUUAUCCAGAAACACAUUUUCCUUCUCUUAAAUCCAUACCUAGAACCUUCUAAUUUCUCUUUCCCAUCUGUUAACUCCUUCUUUAUUCACAUUUUGAAACAAUACUUGUAAAUUUCUGAAUUUAGGCAAAUUAUUCCAUUUUAAUGAGAUAUUUUGUUAUUUGCAGUACACAAUUAAUCACAUCUGUUUACCAUUUCAUGAAAACAUAAACAAUGUUUAAGUGUAUAGAAUUAUACUGUUGAAGGGGUACACAAGGUAAGGCACCUAAGAUAGCACNACACAAUUAAUCACAUCUGUUUACCAUUUCAUGAAAACAUAAACAAUGUUUAAGGGUAUAGAAUUAUACUGUUGAAAGGGGUACACAAGGUAAGGCACCUAAGAUAGCACCAAAGAUAGGGAAACAGUCUUAUUUUGUUGCAGCCAGAUUCGGAGGGCAUGGCUUAUGUUGUAAUCAAUUAAUCCAUUGAACCCCAAGUUUAGGUAGUUUCAGAAUUUUGCACCCAGCAUGUGAGGGGAGGGGCUCAGAAGUUCACAAUCUGCCAGAAGAAGUUCACAAAAAAGCAGUUUUUUUUUUUUCCCCUCUGUUCUCGGCAAGUUAACCCUUCAAAGACACCUGGGAGGGGGAGAGCUUUUGCUUCCCUUUCUCUCCUCCCCCUGCCAGCUGUUCCCAUGGAGCCCAGUUGGUAACUUCCUUAUCUUAGAAAUGUAGCCAUCUCUGUGAAGCUCAGCUCAAGGCCAGAGGCCUUGUUUACAUAUUUUGUGAAAAACUAGUAAGGGGGUGUCUAGCUUUUGGAGUGCUGAUUUUUCCCAGCCAGUGUCCAAGUAAAACAGGGCAACACGAAAAGAGGAAGUUUAUCUACAUUAAACUUUUUUGUAGGGACUCUUUUGCUGACAGUCCUAAAAUCAGCCAUGGUGAAGAUUCUGG
This 2248-nucleotide long non-coding RNA is filed under the name Marmota monax (woodchuck). Lineage: Eukaryota; Metazoa; Chordata; Mammalia; Rodentia; Sciuridae. The record is from RNAcentral.